This is a non-coding RNA of Otolemur garnettii (small-eared galago), 190 nucleotides long. The record is from Rfam. Lineage: Eukaryota; Metazoa; Chordata; Mammalia; Primates; Galagidae.
GAGACUAUAUUUUCAGGGAUCACUUCUGUAGGUUGUUAUGGGAGAAGUUUCUCUGAAUGUACAGAGCACUGGAAACCAGGAGGAGGAGGGGCAGCGUCCUCUCCCGAGUGUGAGCGGCUCUUGGUUGCCAUCUGCCACCUAUUCUUCUCUCCUUUGGGAGAGUAAGAGGAGAGGGCGCUGUCCUAGUGGU